CAUGGCUCAGGAUGAACGCUGACAGAAUGCUUAACACAUGCAAGUUAAUGGGGAAGAUAUAGCUUGCUAUAUUGGGAACCAUAGCGGACGGGUGAGUAACGCGUAAAGGACUUACCCUCAGGACUGGGAUAACAGAGGGAAACUUCUGAUAAGACCGGAUAUAAUAUAUGUAUUGCAUGAUAUAUAUAUGAAAGGGAACGCCUGAGGAGAGCUUUGCGUCCUAUUAGUUAGUUGGUGGGGUAACGGCCUACCAAGGCGAUGAUAGGUAGCCGGCCUGAGAGGGUGGACGGCCACAAGGGGACUGAGAUACGGCCCUUACUCUUACGG
RNAcentral lists this ribosomal RNA (327 nucleotides) under uncultured bacterium. RNAcentral's name for it is "bacterial SSU rRNA". It matches the Rfam family "Bacterial small subunit ribosomal RNA", at positions 18 to 344 of the family's 1533-position model. The record is from RNAcentral.